Non-coding RNA from Anas platyrhynchos (mallard), 4933 nucleotides. The record is from RefSeq and is a predicted model, not a curated record. Lineage: Eukaryota; Metazoa; Chordata; Aves; Anseriformes; Anatidae.
AAGCUCUUCUUCUGUCACCACAUUUAUCCUGAGUCUGGUUUGGUUGACUUUCUGCCUUUUUUUUUUUUUUUUUUAACAUCCUGUUGUAUAUUUAACCUCCACACCAUAUUUCAUGCAAUAAGAAUGCAUAUCAGCUGUUGAGCAGCCAGAUUUGGAAAUCAUGGCUCUCCAGUCAUGGGAAAAGGACAGCAUGAGGAACAGCAGCAUACAGGCGUUUUCCUUCACUGCUGUCACAAAGAUUUUUACUUCAGGACUUGGCAGAGCUUUACUUGCUGCAUUUAUCAUGGUGGGCUUAGUUCCUGGUCACAGAGUCAGGUCAUACACAAAAAUCCACAUACUGUCAUUAGAAGUUCAGCACCAGAUUAAGGACAAGAGCAUGUUCCUUCUCCUUGACCAUACAGCUUGAAGCUUUCCCAGAUUUAUUCCUGGGCUCCUUCUGGAAGAGAGGUGAGCAGAGCCAUGCUCUCCACCAGCCCUGCUGCUGUUUGCCAGAGCCACCCUCACAGUGACGUUGCUUCUAGAGAGGUCUCCUGGUGUUGGCUAACCACCAACUUUUCCACAUCCCUCUACUGAAAAUGAGCUCAAAUCCCUUCAUAUGUGUUGUUGAGAAAUUGGAAUCCUUUGAAGAUUGCCCCAUCAAAUGCAGUGAAAAACAGUAGUAUGUAGGCCAAGGGAGAUUUUGCUCACAACUCUUCAGUCUAUGCCUUAUGAAGGAGAACAAGUGCUGUUAAAUAAUGACUGUCAUUAUGACUUUAGAUCAUAUGACUUUCCCUGUUGCUUGCCAGCCUCCCAGUGGACAGGACAAGGAGGAAUUGUAUUAAGUUCACAGAUGCUAUUAAACUCCAAGCAAACACACCACUGUAUGCAGAAGAAUUAGGGAACCAUGCUGAAAGGAUAUAAAAAAUGCAAUGCCUGAUCUUGAGUGAUAUACGGAGACUAAAUACAUAGAUGUGAGCCUCAAUCAAGCAGUGUGACAUACAUAAGCAACACCAGAUCCUGAUAUGAAGAACUUAUCUCACAGACUACAGCAGAUACUGCAGACAAACAGAUCUUAUUAGCUGAUGACCUCCAGCUGACAAGUUCCCAUAACUACGGUGUGACAUGGCAUUUGCUCUCCUGUACCGAAUACUUAAGGACAAGUAUGUAUUUCUAGUCAUUCCUGUCUUUUGUUUAAUUUUCCUGCAGUGGCAUAUCAACAUUGUAACUUGGCUUUGACAUCAUCAAAAUUUUUAAGUGGAUUAAGCACAGUAUUUCAUUGUCUGUAUAACUAUCGACAUAUUAAAAUGCUUUUGAAAGAAACAUAAAUGUAUUAUGGGAAAGUGGUCUUGCUUUGCCAAAGCCAUUACUUGGAGUUGCAUCAAAUUCAUUAUUUCUCUUGUUAUCCGAAGAAAAUGUGGAGAAAUUCUCUGCAAUUUAUGCACAUCUAAUAGAGCACUGUUUGCUGUCUUAAGUAUAAUCAAGAAUAUCUUUCCUAUCGAAUUAGGAAAUCUCUCUCUCCCUUUAUGACUAGUCUUCAGAGGCAAAGGGCCACAGUCAGAUUGUGAUGUGUUCAUCAGAAGGGUAAAAUUUACUCCCUAAACCUUAUGCUUGGCUGCAGAACUGUUGUUCAUAGAAGGUAUGAAUGAACUUAGACCUUGGAUAAGAAACGAAUCCAAAGACCAUAUGUGCCUCAGCUUUCCCCAAAUUUCUGCCAUAUUUGUUGUCUGAAUUUCAGAUUUAUUUAAACAUCAGUGUUGUGUUUGUAAGUUUGUUUGUUUGUUUUUUUUUUGUUUGUUUGUUUGUUUGUUUGUUUUUUAAUCUUACUUCUGUUUGGAUGCUACUGAGUUAAAAAGCAGUAGACACAGACCAUAAUGUAAUAUUGAUACACUCUAAGAAUUAGGCGGGGUGAUUUAAUUAAAUUCCAAUGGAAAGUACUUAACCUUUUUUAUUAAACAGAAAUUUAUGCACAAAAUGCAAAGACAAAAGCAGUUUGCAUUAAACAUUAACUUCUUCUAACUAAAGAGCCAUGGAGAGAUUGAUUGCAUUUGCUUAAGAGGAAGCAGUGCUGAAAAAGUCUUAAUUCAAGUGGAUUCCAUUUAAUUGUCAAGUGGCUCCAGAAAAGGAACCAAUAGCUGAGCAGAAACGAGGCUCCUGCAAUCCCUGUGCACUGCAACAGCUUUUAAUAAGAAACCUUUGUUUCUGCUGCUUUCCAAGGACCUGUGUUUGUAAUUACAGCAUGCGGAAGAUUUGUAUAUUGCAAGUAAAUUGAGUUUAUUGUUUUGAUGUCUAAAUAUCCAUAUCUAUAUUGACAGAAAUAUAGAGAAAGGGAGAUUUAUAUGUGUAUUCCUAUCCAGAAUUCCCUUGAUCAGAGAGCAGUAAUAUCUUAGCUGUGGGAAGUGAUUAUCCUCAGAAGCCCAGUGUAAGCUUACCUGUCAGACACUUUCUUUGGCCACUGUUACUAAGGAAACCACCUCUUUUGUAUGAGUGCAUUGUAGAUGCCUCUUUUUGGGACCUGAAUUUGUGAUUACAGCCAGAUACUGUUUGCCAGUUCAAUACUGAAGCUUAUUUAACCCUUGACAUUAGCAGAGAUAUAUUAAGUAGUAUAAUUUGUUUCCUGUCCCUCUUCAUUAGAGAAGCUGGUGAAGGAUGAGUUCUUCAGUGAGGGAAUACCAAGAAAAGUUCCCUUCUUCUCAGCUCUGAAAGGGUGGCUGGCAAUGCAAUCACACCCUGUGGCACACUGAGAAGAGAUUGAUUUAAGUACACUUGGAAAAUCUCUGAUACUACAUCUACAAAGAAAUGCAUAAAAGCAUCAGAUGUUAAUCAUCUAAAGUAUCAAGACAGUAAUUGUAAAAAGAACCUCAUCAUUGGUGAAGUUAUUUAUAAAUUUGUGAUAUGAGAUGAGAUGGCAUCUUCAGGUAAGAUUAUAUAUGGACUUUAACUAUUUCUGGUAUAUUAAUUCAAGUCACAUCUCCAAGCUACAAGCUCCAUGAUUCAAAAUGGGGUACCUUAAGAGAUCACUGUUGCUGCUGUACAUAGCUAUUUAUUUAAAAUCCCUCUGUCUUCACAUGAACAAAAAAACCACUUGUGAUUCCAGUUAAAUUCUUUCUUUAAGAUGAAUGUGCAAAUGUGUGGCUCAGUACACUCUUAAUAAAAACAUGUUAAGUAAUAAAAAUAGAAAUUUGCAUCUGCAAAUACCUGAAACACUGAUAUCACUGUCUAAAGGCAUGGUAAUAUUCAUUAAUUAGUCAAUGGGUAGUUCUGAGGACUGUGUAGCAGAGUUCACAUUUUACCUUAAGCUCCAUAGUGGUGAACAAUAUGUGCUGUGGGCUACAAAUAUUAUUGCUACUGGUAGAGGCAAAAGCUUGGGGCAUAAAAGCAGUUAGGGUAUACUAAUCUGACACUCUUCUCAGGAGUGCUGGAGUUAGCCCCCUUUGCCUUUCCAUAUAAUUUUGGAGACAAAAUCCACAAAUGUUUUUAGACUGCAACUCCCAUGCAGUAGCCUUAUGGAUCUGUCAAUGAGUCCUUUUUGCUUUUUUUCCUACCUUACAGGAAGGCCAAAGAAAGAUUUAACUCUAAUUAAUGAAGGUAGUUAGUUUCUGUUUUAGUAAUGGUGUUUUGCUAGAAUUCAAGAAAUUCCUAUCUUCAUUAUAUCCUGUUGGCUAAAAUACAAAUUAUUCCAACUUAAUUUUACUUUAGAGUUUUGAAAGGCACAAGACAGUGACACACGAUGCUGGCCAUAUUCUUACAUAUAUGUAGGAUGUUAGGAAAAGUCUUUUGGGAUCAAUGAUUGAAAUAGGUAGGUAUAGACGGUACUGGGAUAUAAUGCAAUUAUGAAAUAGGAAGGAAUGAUGGUAUACUUAGCUCUUAAGCUAACCUUGUAAAUAUUCACAUUGGUACUGAAACUAUAGUCAAAAUGGGACUCAGUCCUCAGAAAAUCAAAGCUCUUAAUGGUUAGCAUAUGUGUAGUCCCCUUGAUGAAUCUGCAACACCUGCUUUAUGUAUAAGGAAAAAUAAAUAUAUGUGAAAUCCCUUCCUCCUAUCUUCUUUCUAAUUAGAUGGUCACUCUUGAGGGAAAGAUUUGUCUCUUUUGUGUGCUCAUCAGUGACAAUAGUCACUGAUCUCAGCUGUGGCCUCUGUCUGUGCCACAGCACGAUCGUCCUCAUGAAAAUCAGAAAUUCAAACUGAGCUUCCUGCACAAAUGGAAAAGAAUUUUAACCACUGUUAGCAGUCAUUAUGUUUACAUUCUCCUCAUUUCUGCAUUCAAAACUAGCUGUAUUUGAUAUGUCAGCUAUUUCUAAAAUAUACAUGGCUCAUACUUAAGGAGCAGGGGACAGAGCAUGCUGGUAGAAUGCUGGACUGAAAUUCUUCGUUGGGUUCUGAAUUUUCUUACCACUUCCAAAUGUAAAAUCCAGCUCUAAUAUUCUCACCUGACUGAAGAGAAAAGAUAGCUGAACGAGCUGUACAGCCAGAUGGCCACUGUUUGCUUACAUAUUUCCUUUGUUCCCCAUGGCUAGGAGAUUUACAAACAUAAACAACAAAACUAAUUUCAUUUGGACUUUGCUAUUCAUAGAAUUUACAUCCAGAACUUAAUAUAUUCCCUUUAUUGUAGAUAAUGUGAUUAUAAUUCCUUCCAGCUCUUCCUUUUGUGUUUGCUGUCUUAUUUGGGUGGAUAUAUUUUAGGUGGAUCACUUGGAGCUAAAUGUACAAGGGUGCAGAUGCAUUUAUGGGCAUAUGAUGGAGGAAGGAAAGGGUAGUGCACAGCCAGAGCACAUCCUCAGCUUUUAGGAACAGAUGAGUUGUUGCAAAUACUUCUGAUGCCUGCAAUAUGUGCACAGUGUAAACAAGCAGUGCUGUGAGCAGCUAAUGAACUAAUGAAGCCAGAUUUCCUACAGAUUUCUGUCUCUUGAUUGACUAUAACUGAAGCACAGUUUCACAUUAUGCCUAAAAUGCUCUA